This 495-nucleotide ribosomal RNA is filed under the name uncultured bacterium. RNAcentral describes it as "partial 16S ribosomal RNA". It matches the Rfam family "Bacterial small subunit ribosomal RNA", at positions 28 to 507 of the family's 1533-position model. The record is from RNAcentral.
GAUGAACGCUGGCGGCGUGCCUAAUACAUGCAAGUAGAACGCUGAAGGAGGAGCUUGCUCUUCUGGAUGAGUUGCGAACGGGUGAGUAACGCGUAGGUAACCUGCCUGGUAGCGGGGGAUAACUAUUGGAAACGAUAGCUAAUACCGCAUGACAACAGUUAUUGCAUGAUAACUGUUUAAAAGGGGCAACUGCUCCACUACCAGAUGGACCUGCGUUGUAUUAGCUAGUUGGUGAGGUAACGGCUCACCAAGGCGACGAUACAUAGCCGAACUGAGAGGGGGGUCGGCCACACUGAGACGGAGACAGGGCCCAGACUCCUACGGGAGGCAGCAGUAGGGAAUCUGCGGCAAUGGACGGAAGUCUGAGCGAGCAACGCGGCGUGAGUGAAGAAGGGUUUCGGAUCGUAAAGCUCUGUUGUAAGAGAAGGACGAGUGUGAGAGUGGAAAGUUCACACUGUGACGGUAUCUUACCAGAAAGGGACGGCUAACUACGUG